This 589-nucleotide long non-coding RNA is filed under the name Equus asinus (donkey). Its description in RNAcentral is "lncRNA (ENSEASG00005027228.1)". The record is from RNAcentral. Lineage: Eukaryota; Metazoa; Chordata; Mammalia; Perissodactyla; Equidae.
ACAAAGACUGCAGCGGGUAGACGGACACGGAGCCUUGACAGCCCCGGGGUUUCGAGAAGUGAGGGGUCACGAGGAACCCGGGGAUCGCUGGGCUUCCGGCUUUGUCAUUGUUUAUUUCGAAUUAAUUUCGUGGUGUGCGUCUCUGUUUGCAAGCCCGCAGGAGAGACGCAGCGAAUACCCGAUUGAUUCCAUCCCCGGUUUGUUUGAAGGGAGAAGCAAGGGGCGCCUCUGGUGCUCUCACAGCCUUCAAUAGCUCCAAUAGACAGAUCACGGAUUUUGAGAAGGACAAAAUGUGUUUACAUCCAGUGGAAAAGGUGCAUUGUUUUCUUUCACGCUGAGCCCUAGGACUGGAACCUGCUUCUCCACCAGUUUCCAGGUUGGCUGAAAGAAAGGGUGUUGGAGACAUGCCUUUGGAGAAUAUUUGGAGUGAUGGAUAGAAAGCUUUCAGAUCGCAAUCUUUAUGCUUUUCUGGCCUGGAUUUACAAGUUUUGAGAAAACAAUCAAACCACAACCUGAAAUCAUUAUUAACAUAUCAGAGCCUCUGAACCCCCCCAGACCUUGCUACCCAAAUAUACAGUGAUCAUAAACA